This 148-nucleotide signal recognition particle RNA is filed under the name Nomascus leucogenys (northern white-cheeked gibbon). RNAcentral's name for it is "Metazoan signal recognition particle RNA". It matches the Rfam family "Metazoan signal recognition particle RNA". Rfam says of the family: The signal recognition particle (SRP) is a universally conserved ribonucleoprotein. It is involved in the co-translational targeting of proteins to membranes. The eukaryotic SRP consists of a 300-nucleotide 7S RNA and six proteins: SRPs 72, 68, 54, 19, 14, and 9. Lineage: Eukaryota; Metazoa; Chordata; Mammalia; Primates; Hylobatidae. The record is from Rfam by way of RNAcentral.
GCUGGGCAUGGUGGCACAUGCCUGUAUUCCCAGCUACUCGGAAGGCUGAGGCAGGAGGAUAGCUUGAGCCCAGGACGUCAAGGUUGCAGUGAGCCAAGAUUGUGCCACUGCACUCCGGCCUGGGCAACAGAGCAAGACCCUGCCUCAA